CUUACCCUUUAAUAAAACUUAUAUAUAGAAAGAAGACAACAUCAGAUGAUUAAGGACCACACCCUGAAGAAGCUAAAAAAAUGGCGCUCCAUUUUCUCCUCUAAAAAGAGACGAAAGCUGACUCUUCUCCUGGACUCUAUCAACGACAUACCCCUCUCCAUUUCUCAACAAGAACGAUCAGAUUUCCACAUCCAAUCUCAUACACACGAAAAUACACAAACAUAUUAAAAGUUCGAAUCCGAAAAAUGGUUUCAAACAAAAAUCAAAAGGAAGCUAGAAUUUGAGGUUCGAAUUGGUUGGCUUGUUGUUGCUGAGUUUUCCGUUGAAGAUGUGCUGCUGAGUUCCGUUUUCAAUUCCAUCCUUUAUCUGGGCCCUAAGUUCUAGUUUGAUAGCUUGUUGAGUAGCUGAGCUCCAUUCCGCAUCCUAGAUUUUUUUAAUUGGCCAUUUACAACUAUUCUGGAUUGUUUAGGUACGUCUUCCUAUUCCUAUGGUCCUCUUAUUUGAUUAUGAAUGAAUAUUUGAGGGCUCAUUCUAUGAAUAUGCUAAAUUUUGUGGAAUCUAAAAAUUGAUGGGUUGUGUAAUUGUAAGGUAUUAUUGGACAACACUGAAUCAGAAGAAUGAUUUUUGAUUAAUGUGCCUGAAAUUUUUGUUCUCUGUAUUUGAAUGCUGAGUUUUUUUUCGAUUUCUCUUGUGGAAGGACACGCCGAUUUCUUUGUAAAAAAUGGUGGGUUUGCUAUUUUUCCAGUUUUUUUUGGAAAUCGGAUUCCUUCCUUCGAUUCUGUUGAUGUUUCCUUUUUAAAGGAAGAAGAGAAUAUUGAUUUUAGAAUUUUAUAAUCCAAUUUGUUUUUCUGCUUGUACUUUGCUUUGGUGGUAAAUUUUGAGCAGGGGGUCUUAUUGCGCAAGACCCCAGGGCUGCCUCAAUUUUGCUGAAGUUGAAUGAAGCAUAAUUCUUUUCUCUAUGAAAGCAAAGCUAAAAAGCUCUAUGAUUUUGGUUAUUCUCCUUUGCUUUUUUUACUUUUCCCAAUGCUUUUAUAUAGCAAAUCAAUAACCGAGAAGAUGAGUUGAGCUUAACACUAUGUUAUAUAUGUAGACUUUCUGGUUAAUUGCUAUUUUAUUUUGUAUUAUCUUCUAAGUAAUCAAAUUCCAGGAGCACCGUUUGUUAGUAAUAUGUAUCCUUAAUCUUUGAGCAUUUACCCACAAGUCAUGUCUAUAAAUUUUUGAGCUUGUCACAUGAACUCAAAUUAAUUUUAGAAAGUAAAUAUGAACAUCUGUAGUUUGCUUUUGGCACGCAAUUAAAUUAUUACAACUAUGGGUACGGUUCCCGUGACGUGGUUGUGAUACCUAAUUUAAAAUUAGAUUAAAGUAGAAGUGCCUUUAGUUUGCCUUAGUGAAAUACCAAUCUUUUCUUCGAAAAAAAUAAAAUAAUUUGGGGUGUGUCAUACACAAAUAAAAAUCCUAUAAUCUAUGGCGCUCACAUAAAUACAAAAUUAGUAUAGAAAAUGCCUUGAACUUUCAUAGUUUGCUUUAGGCGCAUUAAUUAAAUAAUUAUCAUAGCUACGGAUACGGUUCCCGUGACGUAGUCGUGACGUUUAAUUACUGAAAUCCGAGAGUACAUUUAUGUGACCCAGCAAUAAUUUAAUCUUUAAUAAUUUAAACAUGUUGUAGAUCGUGGGUACGGUUCUCGUGGCAUGAUUCGCAGUGUGUAUCAAACAAACAAAUGUACGACAAUCGUAACUUGUUCCAGAAUAAUUCUAAAAAAUAAUUAAAAUCGUUUAUAAAGUUUAAAAGGCACAAGAGGUUUAAAUAUGUAAUAAGUCAGAUAAUUAGACUAAUUAUUAAUAGUUAAGCGACCGUGCUAGAACCACGGAACCCGAGAAUGCCUAACACCUUCUCCCAGGUUAACAAAAUUCCUUAUCUAGAAUUUCUGGUUCCGUAGACUUUUAAAUAAAGUCAAUUUUCCUUGAUUUGGGAUUUAAAAUAAACCGGUGACUUGGGACACCACUAUAAAUAUCCCAAGUGGCGAUUCUAAAAUAAAUAAAUAAUCUCAUUUCGAUUAUUGUCACUUUAAUUGGAAAAACUCUCUUAUAUCCCCUCUCGGGUGGUAAAAAAGGAGGUGUGACACUUUUCGACCGGGGUUAGGAAUUGUUAUAAAUUGUAUUAUUAUGAGUAAUUGAGCAUAAAUUAAUGGGUUUGCAUAAUUAUUGGCUAGUUUCGUAGCGUUGUGCAUCAGUUUGAGUCGUCGGAAGAGCUUGGAUGUCGGUUAUGGAACUUCAGAGCAAGGUAAGUCUCUUUUCUAACCUUGUAAGAGAUAAUUAACCCCAUAGGUAAACUAAAUUAAUAUGCACCUCUAUUUGUGGGGGCUACGUACGCAUGAGGUGACGAGAGUCCGUACGUAGCUACUAGCUAUGCCUAUGUCCGAGUAGUUUUAGGUUUAUACCAUGCCUUAUUGAUAUUAUUGUUGAUUUAUGUUUAUUGUUUGCCUUGAGAAGAAGCGAGAUUGAGCUUUCUUAGUAAAUAUCUUGAAAAGAGUUGAAAUUGAGGAAUUUGAGAUCUUAAAAGUUUUCAUUUAAACUUCGUAUUUUUGAAAAGGAUUGUAGGAAUAUUAUAAUAGCUUAAGAAAUCUAUUUGUAACCGCGUCGCAUGUAUUUUUCGCGAGCGGGGAAAAUUUCUUUAAAAACCUACAAGUUGAAUUUUCCUUACUUUGAAAAGAAUCAAGAAAGAGAUAUGAUUUCAAUGGCAAAUUUAUAUUUUACCACGUCGCAAGUAUGAUCCGCGAGCGGGGUGAUUCCUUAAAUUUAUAUUUUACCGCGUCGCACGUAUGAUUCGCGAGAGGGGUAUUCCCUUUUACUACUCUUAUGGGAUCGGGCCAUUCGCCUCGGCAGGAUUUAUGUACCACACUCUCAUGGGAACGGGUCGUUCGCCUCAGCAGGUUAAUAGAUGCAUCUAUGGUUCACGCCGUUCAACCCUCGGCAGUGCACAUUUUAUUCUUAUGUUGGAUCGGGCUGUACGCCUCGACAUUUUCAUAUAUAUAUAUAUAGAUCACUCUUAUGGAACUCGUGCGUAACAUUUGGCUAGAAGCCAUGGUAUCUGAGGAUCUUUCCCUGAAUUGAAUUGUUACAACCAUUUUAUGAUAGUCACUAUACCUUUAUAUAUAUGCUCCGGUUACGGAGGGAACAUGCUAGUUGGGAGAUUGAGUAUAAUUGUAAAGAAGACAAUUGUACCAUGUAUUUUAUACAUCUUUAUUUCAUAUGCUUACUCUGCUUCAUAUUUAUUCAUUUCUUUUCUGUAUUUGAAAUCAUUGGACCACUAGUAAGUGUUGAAGUCGACCUAUCGUCACUACUUCUUCGAGAUUAGACGGGAUACUUACUGGGUACACGUUAUUUUUGUACUCAUACUACACUUGUUAUUCAUUUUUGUUGCACAGACACAUGUAUGAUUAUUGGCCUAGUCAGGCGCAACGGCAUGUUUGAUACGGAGACUUAGGUGAGCUACACCUCUCGAGGCGACCCGUAGUCGGUAGAGUCUCCUUCAGAGUACUGUAUUGUAUUUUUUUCUCUGUCCAAUUUAUAUUCCGGACAGUUAUGGUAUUACAUUGUUUCCUAGAAAUUGCUCAUCCACUUGUGACACCGGGGUUUGGGAUGUCAACGGGAUUAUUUAGUGUCAAAAUUUGUUAAAGACAUCAUUAUUUAUUCAGUGAAAUUCUUUAUUAAUUGUUUAAUAUUUUAAAAAGGGAUGAUUUCAAAAAUUAAAACGAGAAAUUACUAGCUAUUUGGUGUUGGCUUGCCCGGCAGUGGUGUCCGGCGCCAUUACGAUCCUUAGUGGAUUUUGGGUCGUGACAAUUUUGUCCCGUUUAUCCCGUCCCGUUUAGGCCCGCCCCGCCACUAGGGGCAAAGCUUUGUUGGCCCAAGGGUGGUCAACUAACCACUAUUUGCCGAAAAAUUAUACUAUGUAUAAGGUAAAAGAUUACUUGUUAUUGAUUAAAAAUAAACUUUGAACACCUUUACAUAGCCCACUAGAAAUGGGUGUUCAAAAUUUAAAUACCUUUAUUCAAUUUUCUGGUUUCGCCAUUGCCCCUCACCAUCCCUCCCGAUCCGCCUCGUUGGACUGCCUUAAAUUCAGAGGAAGAAAUGGAGAAGAAAGGUGAAAAUGUAUAAAAGAGGUAAAAAAAUUAAAAGAGAAAGGAAGGUGAAAUAUAAAGAUAAACUAGAGAAAAAAAAUAUAAAUUUUAAAAAAGAAGGGCUAAUUAGCCAUUAGAAACUGUCAGGUGGGCCAUUUUAAUUGUUGUUUUUAGCUUUCGCAUGUUCUUGGGAGAAAUGUUACACACAUUAUGCCAUAUAAGAGACGAGGGAGUUUUAUUAUGAAGGGGUAUAUAGUUCAGGGGUUUUCGGACAUGUGAUAGUUUAGGUAGUGUGACGACCCGGUCAGUCGUCUCCUAAGUUGCUGCUCCAUUUUUCCCUAUUUCUGCUUCUUAUUGCUUUGUAUAAUGGUUCUACAUGUGAUCGGGUUGAUUGGUUAAGGUUCGGAAAGAAUUUGGUAAGGUUUGAGACACUUAGUCUCUUUUGAGGAAGGUUAAGUUGGAAAAGUCAACCGGAUUUUGACUUAUGUGUUAGAGGUAUCGGAUGUGAGUUCUGACUGUUCGGAUAGCUUCGGUAGGUGAUUUGGGACUUAAGAGCAUGAUCAAAAUGCGUUUUGGAGGUUUGAAGUAGAUUUAGGCUUGAAUUGGCGCAGUGGUUAUUUUGGCGAUUUUCGGUUGGCAGGCGAGAUUUUGAUAUAUGGGUCGGAAUGGAAUUCCGAGAGUUGCAGUAGUUCCAUUGUGUCAUUUGGGAUGAGUGUGAAAAUUUCAAGUCAUUCGAACGUGGUUUUGUUGGAUUUUUUAUCAAAAGCGUAAUUUGGAAGAUUUUCGAAUUCUUAGGCUUGAAUCUGAUGCGAAUUUGGUGUUUCGAUGUUGUUUUCAGUGUUCUGAAGGUUGGAACAAGUUUGAAUGAGGUUAUGGUAUAUGUUGGCAUGUUUGGAUGAAGUCUCAGGGGCCUCGGCUGAGUUCCCAUUUCAUGAAGUUUGGAAUUGCAGAAAUCUGUUGCUCAGUGUUGCAGACAAACGACCUUCGCGUUCGCGAGAGGGGAACUGUGAUCGCGAAGGGUUAGCUGGAGAAGGCUGAAAUUUUAGCCUUCGAGUUUGCGAGGAAGGUUCCGCAUUCGCGAAGGGACUGUGAAGUGAUUCAUUGCAUUCGCGAGGAAAGCUCCGCGUUUGCAUAGAGGAAAUUGGCCAGCUGGGUUUGAGGUGUUUUGUUUAUCGCGUUUGCGGGUGAGGGAGCGCGUUCACGAAGAGUCAGGUUGUGGAACCAUCGCGUUCACGAGUGGCAUGAUGCGAUCGCGAAAGAGGAAUUUUGGUCAAAGGUGAUUUAUGCUUCGCGAACGCGAGACUUAGACUGUGUUCGCGAAGAAGGAUUUCAGGCCUGGGCAGAAUGUUUAAAUACUCAUCUUGUCCGCGAUUUUAGGAUUUAUUUCUUCCAUUGUUAAUCGUUUUUGGAGCUUUUUGAAGAGGAUUGAAGAGGGAUUCAAGAGGAAUCACUUCGAGGUAAUAUUCUUGGACUUAAAACUCGAUUCUAAUGUGAAUUCCACCUAAAUAAUCAUGGAAAUUAAGCAAAAAAUUGAAGAACUACGGCUUGGAAACUUAGACCUUUGAUUGAGGAUUUGAAGGACCAUUUGAGGUCGGAUUUCAGAACUUUUGAUAUGUAUGGACUCGUGGGGAGAUAAGGAAUAUAUUGAUAUAAAAAUUAUUGAAUUCCAAGAUGUGGGCCCGGGGGUCAGGUUUUUGUAAUUUUGGGAUUUGUGUCGUAUAUUGAUUAUUUUCGCUUGGGCUUUGUUCCCUUAGCAUAUUUUGAUAUUGUGAUUCUGAUUUUGGAUAGAUUCGACGUAAGUGGAGGCCGAUUCGAGGGGCAAAGGUGUCGCGAGCUAGAGAUUUACCGGUUUGAGGUGAGUAAUAAUUGAAAAUGAUGUUCUGAGGGUAUGAAACCCCUGAUUUGCACAUCGUUGUGCUAUAUUGAGGUGACACACACACUUAAUGACGAGUGUGGGAUCGUGCACUAUUGGGGAUUGUGACUUAGUCCGUCCCGAAUGACUAUUUUACUGUGUAUUUGACUGAAAUCUAUUUGCUAUCAUCAUUAUUUGGGCUGAAUGCCAUAUUUGGGCUUUUGCCAACUAUUUGAACCCUUCGAGGACUUUUAUUGAUAUUUUCUUAUUGUUUUGACUUUAUACUUGAAUUCAGUCCUGAUAUAUUUCACUAUUUUCGUACUCAGCCAUGUUUACUCUGUUUUAACACUUAAAUGAUCUUUUAAAUGAUAUUUUGGGCCGAGAAUCAUGUUUUACUAUUGCCCGAGUGGCUUGUGAGGAUUUUGACUGAGUAAGGCCGAGGGACUAUGUUGUGAGGAAGCAUUUGAUAUUGAUUAUGAGGCUGAGGGCCAGAGAUAUGUAUGCCACUAGGUGUCGUGAUUGAUAUGAGGCCGAGAUCCUAGUGAUGUAUGCCACGAGAUGGCUUGAUAUUGCGUUUGGGCUGUAAGGGGCCUCUCCAUGAGUCUGCACACCCCCAGUGAGCGCGGGUACCUAUCUGACGUGAGAUGUAGCCCGAGAGGCUGGUAUUGUUCUGAGAUAUUGCCAGAGGGGCGGAUUUGUUGACACUGUGCCUGAGAGGCGAACCUUUAUGUGUUUAUCUUUUUGAAUUACCUGUCAUUAUCUGUUUAAUUGUUGAAAAGGUAUUUCCCAAAGUUUAAAACUGAACCUAAAUGAUUAUUUGUAUUUCUAUUGAUUCACUAUUUUUAAUGGUUUUACUGCUUCAUUAUAGCUUGCUUUGUGCCUUGCGUGAUUUCCUGCUUUCAGUCUUUAUUUAUGAUUAUUACUCACUGAGUUGGAGUACUCACUUUACUCCCUGCACCCUGUGUGCAGAUUCAGGCGCAUCUGGUCCCGCUCCCGAGUGCUGAUCUUUCCAGCUCAGGCAGAUCCGAGGAGUCUCUAGGUAGCUGUCUGCAUUCGCAGCCCGGAGAUUCUUCCCCAUCUUAUUCUCCAUGUUCUUAGUUACUGUAUUAAACUCUGUAGAUUUCUCUGAGUAUUCCGGAUUGUUUAGAUGUUCAUGGCUAGUGACACCCCGGUAUCGGGCUGUGUGGGGUUGUAUUCCGCAAAUUAUGUUGUUAUCUGCUUAAACUUUGGAUUAUUUUAUCAUGCUUAGACUGUUUCUUACUGUUUAGCUGUUAAAUACCGAAAUGGGAAGUGUCGGCUGGCCUUGUCUUCACGAGAGGCGCCAUCACGACCGAGUCUGG
This 7309-nucleotide long non-coding RNA is filed under the name Nicotiana tabacum (common tobacco). RNAcentral describes it as "long non-coding RNA (NTAB_LNC004928)". Lineage: Eukaryota; Viridiplantae; Streptophyta; Magnoliopsida; Solanales; Solanaceae. The record is from RNAcentral.